This 252-nucleotide long non-coding RNA is filed under the name Elaeis guineensis (African oil palm). RNAcentral describes it as "long non-coding RNA (EGUI_LNC058471)". Lineage: Eukaryota; Viridiplantae; Streptophyta; Magnoliopsida; Arecales; Arecaceae. The record is from RNAcentral.
UGAGUUAUGGACAUGGAAUCAUGUCAAGUCUAAUUGCUUAUCUAAAUAUAUUUCGAUCAAAAGAUGAUAUUUCAAUUAAUGAUACCUAAGAAAUCUCUUUUUAAUUACCAUCCUAUUUUAACCAAAAACUUCCAAAAUCAUCAAUCUAUGAGAUCACAUAGGAUGUUCGCUCUCCUUAUUAGGAGUGACCGAUCCUUUAUUGACCACUCACAACCUUCAUGCAUACUUUAUCAUAUCUAGAACACCCCACAC